UGGGGAAUUUUGGACAAUGGGCGAAAGCCUGAUCCAGCAAUGCCGCGUGUGUGAAGAAGGCCUUCGGGUUGUAAAGCACUUUUGUCCGGAAAGAAAUCCUCUGGGUUAAUACCUCGGGGGGAUGACGGUACCGGAAGAAUAAGCACCGGCUAACUACGUGCCAGCAGCCGCGGUAAUACGUAGGGUGCAAGCGUUAAUCGGAAUUACUGGGCGUAAAGCGUGCGCAGGCGGUUUUGUAAGACGGAUGUGAAAUCCCCGGGCUUAACCUGGGAACUGCAUUCGUGACUGCAAGGCUAGAGUAUGGCAGAGGGGGGUUAGAAUUCCACGUGUAGCAGUGAAAUGCGUAGAGAUGUGGAGGAAUACCGAUGGCGAAGGCAGCCCCCUGGGCCAAUACUGACGCUCAUGCACGAAAGCGUGGGGAGCAAACAGGAUUAGAUACCCUGGUAGUCCACGCCCUAAACGAUGUCAACUAGUUGUUGGGGAUUCAUUUCCUUAGUAACGUAGCUAACGCGUGAAGUUGACCGCCUGGGGAGUACGGUCGCAAGAUUAAAA
This 552-nucleotide ribosomal RNA is filed under the name uncultured bacterium. RNAcentral describes it as "partial 16S ribosomal RNA". It matches the Rfam family "Bacterial small subunit ribosomal RNA", at positions 355 to 899 of the family's 1533-position model. The record is from RNAcentral.